Long non-coding RNA from Beta vulgaris subsp. vulgaris (sugar beet), 3563 nucleotides. RefSeq lists it as uncharacterized. The record is from RefSeq and is a predicted model, not a curated record. NCBI's taxonomy places the organism in Eukaryota, Viridiplantae, Streptophyta, Magnoliopsida, Caryophyllales, Amaranthaceae. The transcript is spliced from 4 exons.
UUUCCGCUAUUUUCUUUUCUGUUUGUGCAACGAGACAUAAUUUGAAUUGGACUAUUUAUUAUACAACGGCAACGAAAUACAUAGUUUUGUCGCCCAAUUAAGAUAAUGGGCAACUCAAAACUUAUUUCGUCGCCCAAAUAUGAAUUUGGGCAACAACAACAAUUUUUGUCGCCCAUAAUUUACGCUAUGGGCUACAAAAUCAGCUCGUCGCCCUUGUUUUCAACAAUGGGCCACGACAUUUCUUUUUGUCGCCCUUAAGUUUCAAUUCCGUCGCCCAAAACCUAUUUUCUUGUAGUGGAGACUUAUGUGCGUCCACAAUGAAAGUCAGUGAGAUGGAGCGCUUAGAGAAGAACAUCGCUGAGAUCUUAUGCAAGUUGGAAAAAAUCUUUCCUCCAUCAUUUUUUUUAAUUCAAUGGAGCACUUGCCGGUUCACUUGCCUUAUGAAGCAAAUGUUCGUGGCCCCGUCCAGUAUAGGUGGAUGUACCAUUUCGAAAGGUAACUGAAUUUGUUUUAAGUGUCAUAUAGUAUUGAAUUCGUACAUAAAGUGCUAGUCCUCACCUUACUGAUAGGUUUCUUAACCACUUGAAGCGUAAAGUGGGAAACAAAGCACGUGUUGAAGGUUCAAUAUGCAAUGCCAAUCCUAAUGUCGCUAGCACACCAUGGUCUUGGUGUCCCCGAGUUGUUCAGGGAAGACUGCGGUCGACCGGGAACAGAUGGUCGUUUUCGAUGGUGGCAAGACAAGGAGUACGAUCUAGCACAUCUUUACGUACUUGCAAACAGUGGCAUCUUAAGUGAUUAUGAAAGGUAAUUUGGUGAGAAGUUGUAAAGACCAUUGAGUUACAUUAUACUUGUCCUUUGCCUAACGUGUGGGACAUUACUUACUCAAGGCAAUUCGAGGAUUACAUUGUCAAUUCAAGACCGAACAUUGCUAAGGAUGAGUGUGGAGCAAAUGCGAAGCCGAGUUUCCUAGUUGGUUCAAGACAAAUGUGAAUUUCGUAUAGUAUUUUUAUAACCAUUGAGAUACUUUCAUGUACUAACUUAGUCCCUAAAAUCAGGUCAUUCGUGCCAUGACAUGUGACGAUGUCACUCAAGCUCUUGCUAUGGGUCCUUCCAGACAAGUGACAACGUGGAAUCAAUUCUUUGUGAAUGGAUAUCACUUUUAUACACACGAAUAUGGCAAGAACAAGUCAACCAUGAAUUAUGGUGUAUGUGUUCAAGCUGCUGAUGGAGCUGAUUACUUUGGCAUCUUGGAGGAGGUUAUCGAACUGGUGUACCAUGGUAAUUUGGCUGUUUAUAAGACAAUCUUGUUCAAGUGCAGUUGGAUGGACUCGGACAAGGGUAUGAACAUUCAUGAACAGUACAGACUUGUGGAAGUCAACCACACCAAGAAAUACCCAAAAUAUGAUCCGUUUGUGUUGUCGUACCAAGUUAGCCAAGUAUACUACGCGUCGUAUCCCAGUAUUAGGAGGGAUAAAGUGCAAUGGUGGGCUGUGUUUAAACGAAGGCAAGGUCCAAAGUUGAUGCCCCUGUUGUUUUGGAUGUUCUCCAGGAGGAAAGAACUGAUACCGCUGCAAUUCUUUGUGCUCCAGAUGAGAUACCAGACUAUGAUGCUGGUGACGACAACAAUAAUGAUGAGAUUAUGGAAUUUGAGGCGCCGAAUGAAUAAGGAGAACCAAGUGAAAAUGAAAGCAGCGAUGAGAUUGGUGACUUGACUGACGGUGAUGAUGACGAGGAUGACCUUGAUGAUUAUGAUAUGUUUGAUAACGUGUAGUUUGUUUUGUUACCUUAUGUUGUUUGCUUUUGUUGUAAGACAAUAUGUAUGUCAUUUUAUCGCCUUGUCGUAUUCUAUGUGUAAGACAUAUUGUUUAUUUCUAUUAUAUGUGUUUUAGUCAGAUGAUCUUUGUUUAAUUUCACGCUUUGUAAAAAUUGGUUAAUUAUGUGAUUCCAAUAUUUUGUACUACGGUUUCAUAAUUUGUUGUUUAUAAUAUGUGAUUAAUUUCAAGCUUUGUCAUGCCUUCAAUCUUUGUUGGUGAUUUAUUUUUCGGAUGUCAUCACAUGCCGGAUCUCGAGGUGGUUCUCGUGGUGGGGGGUAGUGGUCGAGGUCGUGGCAGAGAGGGGCCUGAGCCUCAGCCUGAGCUUGAUGACGAGUUGGAGAGGGACGAGGCAGAGGAAGAAGUCAGGGUAGAGGACAAUCAUGGGGUUGGAGUAGUUGACAAGCGAGAGGAGUUGGACCCCAAUGGACUUUGGUUUGAAGACAAUGGAGUCAUUCGCUCUAUGAGUAAAUGCUUCAAGCAACAUUUCCAUCAUCCAUGGAGGAAUUGAUCGCAGGUUGAUGACGACACAAAAAACCAUUGGUUUUCUCUUUUCAAGACCAUAUAUAAAUGGAGGGAGGAGCUUCAAUCCCUAGUGAGGUCUACAUUCGACAAAAAAAUGGCCAAAAGGUUGAAAGAUAAUAACCACUUGAUAGUAAAGAAGAAGGGUGGUGUAUGUUCGACGUGGCUGUCUGUGAGCAUUAAUUCACUAGCAGAUGAUGAAGAAUGCUCAAGACGAGGAGUUCAGAGCCCGAUUUGAGAAGGCCAGCAAGAACCGGCAAGGAGGUGACUUGACCAGCAACGUACCUCCUUCUCAUUGCUAGGGCUCUAUUUCCUCAGCAGAGCGCGCCAAGAGAUUGAUAAGUGUAACUUUUCUUCAAUACAUUUAAUCCAGAAACAUUAUUUAAUUAAUGCGUUUAAACGUUUAGGCCGCACAACGUGGAGGGGUGUUGCCUUCCGCUUUGGACUUGUUCAUGGACACACACAUGAGGGAUGAGUCUGGAAAGAAGGUGCCGAUCAAUGACAAAGUCCUGCAAAUUAAGGGAAGUUAUGACAAAACUCUUGCUGAACGUCAAGAAAAAGGGGAAAACAAGGCCCCGAACAAGAUUUUCUUUGAGACUGUCGGCGGCAGAAAGAAAGAAAGGGUGGGUUCAUGGUUUGGGGACGAGUGCAUACCUCUAUUUUGAGAGGUCUUCGAGGGGGGAGGUAGUUCGUCCUCCAGUUGCACUCCUUCCAUGUUUUCUUAGUUGUCCGCGAGGUUCGAGGAAGAAAGACUCGAGUUGCAAAGAGAACGUGAGCGGAUAUAGAAGGAGAGAGAAGAGGAACGACUUGCCACACAAAGGGAACGAGAGGAGGAGCGCCUUGCAAGGCAAAAGGAGAGAGAAGAGGAACACCUCGCUAGGCAAAUGGAGAGAGAGGAGGAGCGCAGAGUGCAUGAGGACUAACUGGCGCAGAUGAGGAAGACUAUGGAGAGCUAGAACCAGAUGAUGAGCCAAUGUGGUGGUUCCUUCCCCUUUAUCGGGCCUCGAGAGCCCCCCACCGGCGGUGGUGAUGCGUUUGCGACUUAGGCUCCUACUAUUGUUUACAAUAUCUAUCUUGUAUAUUUUUCGGGACGUGAGAACAUAUAAUUUAUAAUUAAUGCAAACAGGUCUUUAGUGCAGAAUUCGGCGCAUUAGCGGACUGCUUGAGUAUAUUUUGUUGGAAAAUGAAACAGGUUAAAAAAUAUUCAAAUACUACAACUUAGGUUUAUUU